GACAGAGGGUGCAAACGUUGCUCGGAAUCACUGGGCGUAAAGGGCGCGUAGGCGGCUUAUCAAGUCAGGCGUGAAAUUCCCGGGCUCAACCUGGGGGCUGCGCUUGAUACUGAUUGGCUUGAAUGCGGGAGAGGAUAGUGGAAUUCCCGGUGUUAGAGGUGAAAUUCGUAGAUAUUGGGAAGAACACCGGUGGCGAAGGCG
RNAcentral lists this ribosomal RNA (201 nucleotides) under uncultured bacterium. RNAcentral's name for it is "partial 16S ribosomal RNA". It matches the Rfam family "Bacterial small subunit ribosomal RNA", at positions 524 to 723 of the family's 1533-position model. The record is from RNAcentral.